This is a long non-coding RNA of Sorghum bicolor (sorghum), 881 nucleotides long. RefSeq lists it as uncharacterized. NCBI's taxonomy places the organism in Eukaryota, Viridiplantae, Streptophyta, Magnoliopsida, Poales, Poaceae. The transcript has 4 exons. The record is from RefSeq and is a predicted model, not a curated record.
UGCAAAUUAUUUUGGGAGGGCUCCAACAAAUUUCAGUUUUAUCUGUUAACUAAUUAUAUUAGGGUUUCAGACACAUGGAUUGCUAUUCUGAUUGUAUUGUUGUUUAUCGUAUCCUGCUGCAGAAAUAGUUGUGCAUUUGCUCUUUGCUGUGAAGACAUUGCACAAUGAAAUGCUAUUCUCAAUCCUGUCGUUUUGCCUUCUGUGCGUGUGGAGGGGGAGGGGCCUACUACUGCAAUGGAUGCGGCGAUACAAGGUUAGCACAUUCUCUAGGUUGAACUCAGAGUCUAUUUUCUAUGCUUGGAAACCAGGAAGGGAACAUACAAUGAAGGACAUAUUGCCAACUUUAAAAGGGGGAUGUGAACUCAGAAUCGCAGGCUAUACCACCAAUCUCAUGAAGGUAACGUAGAUCAGAGAGUACAACAGAAAAGGAUGGCUAUUAGAUGUGUCAUGGAAUCUAUAUCCAUUGCAAUGCACUCUAUAUUAUUUUCUUCAGUGUCUGCUGUUUUACAUAUGUUGGGUGACCUGGUAUUUUCUUCAGGAAGUAUGAAUAUAUUAGAACUGCUCUUAUUGUUUCUCAAGACGAGACACGUGCCACCGCUGUUCAACACCAUAAUCCAAGGGUGUUUGGUUGGAAGUGCCCAGCUAUUUUCAGUCAUGCUGGCAACAGAGGGAUGACUGAGGAGGGAGAGCAGGAGUGGGAGCAACGUCGCCGGCGGCGGCAUGGCUAGAUCCGAGGACUGGAGGCUCACGUGAACUGCAGAUUGGACGCUUUUACAUUCGCAGCAGAUGUUGCUCCCUAGGCAUUUCCAGCUCUCUGCUAUCAUUUAUGUAUUUCGUGCUAUCAAAACAGUUCAAAAAUUAAUACAUUUCUCUGUUGUCUA